Molecule: ribosomal RNA, 446 nt
Filed under: uncultured bacterium
Lineage: Bacteria
Description: bacterial SSU rRNA
Rfam family: Bacterial small subunit ribosomal RNA
Source: RNAcentral
CCCAGACUCCUACGGGAGGCAGCAGUGGGGGAUAUUGCACAAUGGGGGAAACCCUGAUGCAGCGACGCCGCGUGAGUGAAGAAGUAUUUCGGUAUGUAAAGCUCUAUCAGCAGGGAAGAAAAUGACGGUACCUGAUUAAGAAGCCCCGGCUAACUACGUGCCAGCAGCCGCGGUAAUACGUAGGGGGCAAGCGUUAUCCGGAUUUACUGGGUGUAAAGGGAGCGUAGACGGUGAUGCAAGUCAGAAGUGAAAGCCCGGGGCUCAACUCCGGGACUGCUUUUGAAACUGUGUGACUGGAGUGCAGGAGAGGUAAGCGGAAUUCCUGGUGUAGCGGUGAAAUGCGUAGAUAUCAGGAGGAACACCAGUGGCGAAGGCGGCUUACUGGACUGUAACUGACGUUGAGGCUCGAAAGCGUGGGGAGCAAACAGGAUUAGAUACCCGCGUAC